This 253-nucleotide ribosomal RNA is filed under the name uncultured bacterium. RNAcentral's name for it is "partial 16S ribosomal RNA". It matches the Rfam family "Bacterial small subunit ribosomal RNA", at positions 524 to 776 of the family's 1533-position model. The record is from RNAcentral.
UACGUAGGGUGCAAGCGUUAAUCGGAAUUACUGGGAGUAAAGCGUGCGCAGGCGGUUUUGUAAGUCUGUCGUGAAAGCCCCGGGCUCAACCUGGGAAUUGCGAUGGAGACUGCAAGGCUUGAAUCUGGCAGAGGGGGGUAGAAUUCCACGUGUAGCAGUGAAAUGCGUAGAGAUGUGGAGGAACACCGAUGGCGAAGGCAGCCCCCUGGGUCAAGAUUGACGCUCAUGCACGAAAGCGUGGGGAGCAAACAGG